RNAcentral lists this ribosomal RNA (487 nucleotides) under uncultured bacterium. RNAcentral describes it as "bacterial SSU rRNA". It matches the Rfam family "Bacterial small subunit ribosomal RNA", at positions 28 to 496 of the family's 1533-position model. The record is from RNAcentral.
GAUGAACGCUGGCGGCGCAUUUAAGACAUGCAAGUCGAACGAAAAUUUACGCUUAAAGAAUUGAUUAGUUUACUAAGAGAUGAUUUAUUGUAAAUUUUAGUGGCGGACUGGUGAGUAAUACAUAGGUAAUCUGCCUUUUAGAGGGGAAUAACUAGGAGAAAUCCUAGCUAAUACCGCGUAAGACCACACUUAGGCAUCUAAGAGAGGUCAAAGGAGUAAUCCGCUAAAAGAUGAGCCUGUGGCUGAUUAGUUAGUUGGUGGGGUAAGAGCCUACCAAGACGAUGAUCAGUAGCCGAGCUGAGAGGCUGGCCGGCCACAUUGGGACUGAGAUACGGCCCAGACUCCUACGGGAGGCAGCAGUUGGGAAUAUUGGACAAUGGAGGAAACUCUGAUCCAGUGACGCCGCGUGAAGGAAGAAGGUCUUCGGAUUGUAAACUUAUUUUAUCAGGGAAGAAGAAAGUGACAGUACCUGAAGAAAAAGGACCGG